RNAcentral lists this ribosomal RNA (334 nucleotides) under Staphylococcus aureus. RNAcentral's name for it is "bacterial SSU rRNA". It matches the Rfam family "Bacterial small subunit ribosomal RNA", at positions 1 to 324 of the family's 1533-position model. The record is from RNAcentral. Lineage: Bacteria; Bacillati; Bacillota; Bacilli; Caryophanales; Staphylococcaceae.
UUUAUGGAGAGUUUGAUCCUGGCUCAGGAUGAACGCUGGCGGCGUGCCUAAUACAUGCAAGUCGAGCGAACGGACGAGAAGCUUGCUUCUCUGAUGUUAGCGGCGGACGGGUGAGUAACACGUGGAUAACCUACCUAUAAGACUGGGAUAACUUCGGGAAACCGGAGCUAAUACCGGAUAAUAUUUUGAACCGCAUGGUUCAAAAGUGAAAGACGGUCUUGCUGUCACUUAUAGAUGGAUCCGCGCUGCAUUAGCUAGUUGGUAAGGUAACGGCUUACCAAGGCAACGAUGCAUAGCCGACCUGAGAGGGUGAUCGGCCACACUGGAACUGAGA